CUGCUCUCUUCGGCAGCAUGUAUAAUCAAAUGAGAAUGAAACAGAGAAGAUUAGCAAGGCCCUUGUGCAAGGAUGACACGUACAUUCAUGAAGUGAAAUCCUGGCUU
Molecule: small nuclear RNA, 107 nt
Filed under: Chinchilla lanigera (long-tailed chinchilla)
Lineage: Eukaryota; Metazoa; Chordata; Mammalia; Rodentia; Chinchillidae
Source: RNAcentral